AACGAACGUUGGCGGCGUGCUUAACACAUGCAAGUCGAGCGCGAAUCCUUGCUUCGGCGAGGUAGUAGAGCGGCGAACGGGUGAGUAACACGUGAGUAAUCUACCUUCAAGUUUGGGAUAACGACCCGAAAGGGUUGCUAAUACUGGAUAAGACCACAACGCCCCUGGGCGAUGUGAGAAAAGGCCUCGGUCGCUUGAAGAUGAGCUCGCGUCCCAUUAGCUAGUUGGUGAGGUAAUGGCUCACCAAGGCUUCGAUGGGUAGCUGGUUUUAGUAGGAUGAUCAGCCACACUGGAACUGAGACAC
This 304-nucleotide ribosomal RNA is filed under the name uncultured bacterium. RNAcentral describes it as "bacterial SSU rRNA". It matches the Rfam family "Bacterial small subunit ribosomal RNA", at positions 29 to 327 of the family's 1533-position model. The record is from RNAcentral.